AAUUGAUGCUGGGUGCUGCUAAUUGCCACACCUGUGCCACGUUAAUAUUAUAAAAGGAGAAGUGUGAGUGCUGAGGAGGAGAGAUUGAAUAACACAGAACAGAGCUCAGAGGAAGAAGACGGCAGGAGGCGUUGAAAGCUGGUGCAGCAGUGAGUGAGGGAGCAAGAACAGACUUGCUGGUUAAGAAAGAAGAAUAUGCCAGAAGACCUAAGCCUAUUGAUGCCUAGGAGCCUGCAGAGAUUGUAUUUGUCUUCAGCAAGUUCUCAGGAGUUUCCUGUUCUCAGCAAGAGGUUCAGUUUCUUUGUGGUGGCGGCCUGCACCACCACCACCUACU
Polypterus senegalus (gray bichir) is the source of this 334-nucleotide long non-coding RNA. RefSeq lists it as uncharacterized. Lineage: Eukaryota; Metazoa; Chordata; Cladistia; Polypteriformes; Polypteridae. The record is from RefSeq and is a predicted model, not a curated record. The transcript has 3 exons.